CGUAGGGUGCGAGCGUUAAUCGGAAUUACUGGGCGUAAAGCGUGCGCAGGCGGUUAUAUAAGACAGAUGUGAAAUCCCCGGGCUCAACCUGGGAACUGCAUUUGUGACUGUAUAGCUAGAGUACGGCAGAGGGGGAUGGAAUUCCGCGUGUAGCAGUGAAGUGCGUAGAUAUGCGGAGGAACACCGAUGGCGAAGGCAAUCCCCUGGGCCUGUACUGACGCUCAUGCACGAAAGCGUGGGGAGCAAACAGGAUUAGAUACCCUGGUAGUCCACGCCCUAAACGAUGUCAACUGGUUGUUGGGUCUUCACUGACUCAGUAACGAAGCUAACGCGUGAAGUUGACCGCCUGGGGAGUACGGCCGCAAGGUUG
This 370-nucleotide ribosomal RNA is filed under the name uncultured organism. Its description in RNAcentral is "bacterial SSU rRNA". It matches the Rfam family "Bacterial small subunit ribosomal RNA", at positions 526 to 896 of the family's 1533-position model. The record is from RNAcentral.